GAUGAAGAACGCAGCGAAAUGCGAUAAGUAAUGUGAAUUGCAGAAUUCAGUGAAUCAUCGAAUCUUUGAACGCACAUUGCGCCCUCUGGUAUUCCAGAGGGCAUGCCUGUUCGAGCGUCAUUUCAACCCUCAAGCCCAGCUUGGUGUUGGGGCAUUGCCUUUUCCCUCCGGGGAGAGGGCAAGCCCUGAAAUUCAGUGGCGAGCUCGCCAGGACUCCGAGCGUAGUAGUAAAACCCUCGCUUUGGACUGUUCUGGCGCGGCCCUGCCGUAAAACCCCCCCAACUUCUGAAAAUUUGACCUCGGAUCAGGUAGGAAUACCCGCUGAACUUAAGCAUAUCAAUAAGCGGAGGA
This 351-nucleotide unclassified non-coding RNA is filed under the name soil metagenome. RNAcentral describes it as "partial contains 5.8S ribosomal RNA, internal transcribed spacer 2, and large subunit ribosomal RNA". The stretch from base 1 to 120 matches the Rfam family "5.8S ribosomal RNA", at positions 35 to 154 of the family's 154-position model. The record is from RNAcentral.